CUAGAUCUAGCUUAUGAUAAUCAAUUACAUUGAAUUCUUGCAUGAUAGCAUGCAAUGCAUAUUUGGCUUCUAAUUUCCCGUAGGCAAAGUUGCUUAGGCAAUAAAGCGAGCAUGAGGCGUGAAAUAUGUCUUAUAUGUAGCAAAUAGUUUGCAUACAAUAUUUGGCUAAGGAAUGAAGUAGGUGCAAGGAUUAGUACGAGUCCUAAUGUCACGUUCUCGAUCUGAGAUCGUGAGUCAAAGAUC
This 243-nucleotide long non-coding RNA is filed under the name Elaeis guineensis (African oil palm). RNAcentral's name for it is "long non-coding RNA (EGUI_LNC023456)". Lineage: Eukaryota; Viridiplantae; Streptophyta; Magnoliopsida; Arecales; Arecaceae. The record is from RNAcentral.